RNAcentral lists this ribosomal RNA (1308 nucleotides) under uncultured bacterium. RNAcentral describes it as "bacterial SSU rRNA". It matches the Rfam family "Bacterial small subunit ribosomal RNA", at positions 28 to 1381 of the family's 1533-position model. The record is from RNAcentral.
AACGAACGCUGGCGGCAUGCCUCAUACAUGCAAGUCGAACGAGGUUUUCGGACCUAGUGGCGCACGGGUGAGUAACAUGUGGGAAUCUACCUGAAGGUUCGGAAUAACUGCGGGAAACUGUAGCUAAUACCGGAUGUGUCUGCAAAGAGAAAGAUUUAUCGCCUUCAGAUGAGCCCGCACUAGAUUAGCUAGUUGGUGAGGUAAUUGCUCCACCAAGGCUACGAUCUAUAGCUGAUUUGAGAGGAUGAUCAGCCACACUGGGACUGAGACACGGCCCAGACUCCUACGGGAGGCAGCAGUAGGGAAUAUUGGACAAUGGGGGAAACCCUGAUCCAGCAAUGCCGCGUGAGUGAAGAAGGCCUUCGGGUUGUAAAGCUCUUUCAUCAAUGAUGAUAAUGACAUUAGUUGAAGAAGAAGCCCCGGCUAACUUCGUGCCAGCAGCCGCGGUAAUACGAAGGGGGCUAGCGUUGUUCGGAAUCACUGGGCGUAAAGCGUAUGUAGGCGGAUCAAAAAGUUAGAUGUGAAAUCCCUGGGCUCAACCCAGGAACUGCAUUUAAAACUAGUGAUCUAGAAUUUGGUAGGGGUUAGUAGAAUUUCCUGUGUAGAGGUGAAAUUCGUAGAUAUAGGAAAGAAUACCAGUGGCGAAGGCGACUAACUGGGCCAUUUUUGACGCUGAGAUACGAAAGCGUGGGUAGCAAACAGGAUUAGAUACCCUGGUAGUCCACGCAGUAAACGAUGAGUGCUAGUCGCUGGGACAAUAGUUUCAGUGUCGAAGCUAACGCAUUAAGCACUCCGCCUGGGAAGUACGGUCGCAAGAUUAAAACUCAAAUAAAUUGACGGGGGCCCGCACAAGCGGUGGAGCAUGUGGUUUAAUUCGAAGCAACGCGAAGAACCUUACCAGACCUUGACAUGGUAUGUUUGAAUUACAGAAUCGUAAUUCUUCAGUUCGGCUGGCAUACACACAGGUGCUGCAUGGCUGUCGUCAGCUCGUGUCGUGAGAUGUUGGGUUAAGUCCCGCAACGAGCGCAACCCUCAUUUUUAGUUGCCAUCAGGUUAAGCUGGGCACUCUAAAAAAACUGCCGGUGAUAAGCUGGAGGAAGGCGGGGAUGACGUCAAGUCCUCAUGGCCCUUACGGUCUGGGCUACACACGUGCUACAAUGGUGGUGACAAUGAGCAGCGAUACUGCAAAGUAAAGCUAAUCUUAAAAAACCAUCCCAGUUCGGAUUGGACUCUGCAACUCGAGUCCAUGAAGUUGGAAUCGCUAGUAAUCGUAGAUCAGCGUGCUACGGUGAAUACGUUCUCGGGCCU